This is a long non-coding RNA of Bradysia coprophila, 348 nucleotides long. RefSeq lists it as uncharacterized. The record is from RefSeq and is a predicted model, not a curated record. NCBI's taxonomy places the organism in Eukaryota, Metazoa, Arthropoda, Insecta, Diptera, Sciaridae.
CAUUAAUGUGUUUAUUCAUUGGUGAUUGAUAGAAGUGGGAAAAAACAGAUUCAGCUGGAGGUUUUUGGUGCUGCAUCAUUUUUUUUCUUAUUGAAUAUUAAUACACAACAAAAUGUGGCCUAUUAAAACAAUUUUCAUUGUGUCUUUGAUACUGCUCAGUCAUAUUGUAACUCAAUCCACACUAUCUUCCUUCGUGAAAGAAGACAAAUGCGUCGAAGUGUGUAACAUGGGACAGAGACACAUUGACGAAUGCUGUGCGGCAUACGGAUACCAUCAAAACGGAUAUUGUUCACUUUUAUUUGGAAAGCAAGUGAGAUGUGAAAUUAAAGCUGAUAAUAAUUGAAGUCA